UCUUUUAUAAAGGAAUAAAGUCGGGUAUGCAUACCCGUUUGCAUGUACUUUAUGAAUAAGGAUCGGCUAACUCCGUGCCAGCAGCCGCGGUAAUACGGAGGAUCCGAGCGUCAUCCGGAUUUAUUGGGUUUAAAGGGAGCGUAGAUGGAUGUUUAAGUCAGUUGUGAAAGUUUGCGGCUCAACCGUAAAAUUGCAGUUGAUACUGGAUGUCUUGAGUGCAGUUGAGGCAGGCGGAAUUCGUGGUGUAGCGGUGAAAUGCUUAGAUAUCACGAAGAACUCCGAUUGCGAAGGCAGCCUGCUAAGCUGCAACUGACAUUGAGGCUCGAAAGUGUGGGUAUCAAACAGGAUUAGAUACCCUGGUAGUCCACACGGUAAACGAUGAAUACUCGCUGUUUGCGAUAUACGGCAAGCGGCCAAGCGAAAGCGUUAAGUAUUCCACCUGGGGAGUACG
Molecule: ribosomal RNA, 451 nt
Filed under: uncultured bacterium
Lineage: Bacteria
Description: bacterial SSU rRNA
Rfam family: Bacterial small subunit ribosomal RNA
Source: RNAcentral